Molecule: long non-coding RNA, 245 nt
Organism: Morus notabilis
Lineage: Eukaryota; Viridiplantae; Streptophyta; Magnoliopsida; Rosales; Moraceae
Exons: 3
Source: RefSeq, a predicted model, not a curated record
GCGUUUUCUCCCUCCGCCACUCCACGGCACUCCUCGAAGGAUUCAAAUCCCGAGCGCCAGAAACCCUCAGUUCUCACUUUCCAGCAAGCAAUUCAACGUCUCCAGGUUGAUGCUGGGACUAUGAAUCCUUUGAUCUACCUAAGGGCUCUUGGUCCUAAACUGUGGAAUGCUGAGCAGUUCGUCUUCAAUGUCUGACAGAGGCGUCGUUUCAUCAUCUAGAAUCACCGCCAAAGUGUUGACGAUGU